AGUUGCUCGUCCAAUCACACGCGUCGUCUCGCAAGAACCGCGCGAUACACGAACAGACAAAGAAGUCGUCUUUGUUACAUGAGUUUCUACAAUGGCGGCCCGGUAUUACCAGUCCGACUCACCACAAACUCCUCGCAUAGAACAGCCUGGACAUGACCGACUGGUUCCAGUCAGACCCGCGACAGACACUGAGAAGAAACUGUUGAGUGUUAUCAGCGGGCUGUCUGGCCAGAGAGCACCGCCAGAGGAGAAGCUCUAGCAGAAGUUGGAGCGGUGUCAGAGCUGCAGGAGGGGAUGGCCGCCAUGGAAGCCAAAUUAAACACUUUCUCCAGCGGCGAGGAAAUUCAGCGGAAAAGAGGAGAGCACAGUCCUAAAAUUGCGGUUUCCCAGAGACUAUGGGUUGAGGAGGAAUUGGAAGUUUGUCGGCUUAGACCUGGUGUCAUUCCAUCAGUGUUUAACUUCCCGGCUCAUCUUGGAAGAGUAUGUGCCAGAAAGAUCACGACCAAACAACCUUGAGAUCUUAGACAGCGUCUCCCUCAGGUGGGUGUCAGUGGUGUUCACAGUCAGGUCUGUGGUAAUCCUGUCAAAAAACAAAACAGAAAAAAGUCUAGAUUAUAAAUCAACAUGUAACCAAAGCACUCUGUGUAUAACGCCAUAGUAUAGGAUGUAGUUCAGAAAAUGUCAAAGUAUAGUAUACUUUACUCAAGAAUAACAUAGUAUGGCCUGUAGUUCAUAGUAUAGCAUGUUGGCAAGAAAAAAAAAACAAAACAUAGAUUAUUAUGUGGAUCAAAAAGUGCAAAAUGAUAGGAUGUUGCCUAAAAUUGUCAUGUAUGAUAUGUGGUUCAAAAAAUGUCAUAGUGCAAUAUAUUGUCAAAAUAGUAUGUUAUUCAAGAAAACAUUAGAGUAUAAUGUCAUCUAAAAAAUGCCAUAGAAUAAUAUUUCAUUGCACAAGUAAAAGUAUAGUGAGUUUUAAAACUGUUCAAAUUCUUAUAAUAUGUUGCUAAAAAACAACAAAAAAAACUAAAACAAAAAAAGUCACAGUAAUAUGUCAAUUAAAAAAGCCUAUAGUAUAGCGUGUCGCCCAACAAACAUCAUAGUAUAGCAUGUCGCUCUAAAAACAUCACAGUAUAGCCUUUAGUCCACAGCUGUCAGUAGGUGAGGAGCAACACAAAAAAAGUCCAAACGCUGGUUUCCAGAGGGUUAGACGAGAAUUUAUUUGAAAGAGUAAGUUUACAACAACACAACAUGUGAGGGGGUUAAAAACAAAUGGGUGUUAGUAAAAUAAAAAUAAAUUAACAGAACUAAAAGUGAACUUCAUGUUGACAUUGAUGUUCAUUCCAACCAGGAACAAAGUAAAAGAUAAUCAAUACGAAAAAAAACUCUUCCUGUUCACCUCUUAAAACCCAAAAACACACCGCAGUAGCAUUCUAAACUAAAACUACCAAUGGGUUCCCUGUUUUCCUUUCUGAGCAAUUCAAAGGUCCCUCUCUAUCUCCCCACACAUCCACCAACCACUGGAACACAUCUCCAAAAUUCUGCCGGGCCAG
Molecule: long non-coding RNA, 1547 nt
Organism: Amphiprion ocellaris (clown anemonefish)
Lineage: Eukaryota; Metazoa; Chordata; Actinopteri; Pomacentridae
Source: Ensembl